This is a small nuclear RNA of Aegilops tauschii subsp. strangulata, 160 nucleotides long. RefSeq annotates it as U1 spliceosomal RNA. NCBI's taxonomy places the organism in Eukaryota, Viridiplantae, Streptophyta, Magnoliopsida, Poales, Poaceae. The record is from RefSeq and is a predicted model, not a curated record.
AAACUUACCUGAACAGGGUCAAUAAGAGAUUAAGAAGUCUCAUGGCCUAAAUCAAUGACCUACAUUGCACGUUUUAGGCGCAUAGGUCUACCAUCUGCCUGUGGAUAGAGUGGAUAUUAUAAUUUGUGGUAGAUGGAGUAUGCGUUCGCGCGGCCCCUAC